GCUUGUUGAGCGUGUGAUCCACUUAUCUGCAGGGCUGAUCGCUAGUUAAACCCUGCCCAAGUAGCUGAAGGGCUGUUUGUUUUAUGACAAGCAGGACGAAGGAGCCCUGUAAGGUUCAGGGGUAGCGCUCCCCUUCAGCCAGUGUCUGAAAACGUUUGCUUGGGAAUUCCUAAGCCGGUAAAGGCUGGAUGUGAACCAUUUUUAUGCCUGUGUACCAAAACAGAAGUGUGUGUGUGUGUGUGUGUGUGUGCGUGUGUGUGCGUGUGUGUGUACACAUGCAUGUGCACAUGCACAUGCACAUGCACAUAUGAUGGUGUACCUGUGCAAUUCUCCAACUAGGAAAGUGGAGGCAAGAGGAACAGGAGUUCAAGGCCAUCCUGGAAUUCAAGUUGCAGGGGACCUGAGGCCCUCUUCUGAGCUCCGAAGGCACCAGGCCCUCGUGUGGCCCACAGCAAACAUACAAACCAAACCAUCACACAGGGAAAUAAAUAAUUAUAUUUUAAGAGAAAGAAAAGAAACCCAAAGAGGAGCGGUAAAUGGUACAAGACACUGGAGCCCUAGGUUCUGACUUCUGACACCAGAGGCCUUCAAGACGGGCUGGGGAUCUGUGGGGCCAGGAUAGAGAACUCUGCUAUUUGCUUCUCCAAAGAAGUCACCCGUGUCUGUUUCUGUUCCCCAUUACAGCUGAUUCCAGGCACUGCAAUGUCCCUGAUUUCUUGGAAGCCUCACGUCACCCGUGAGAGCUUGGAGCACGGGAAUGUAGCAGUAUACCCUGCUCAUGUGGGAACAGAACCAAGGCCUUCGAACACUCUAGGCAAGUACUGUACCAACUGCGGCACAACCGCAGGUCCAUCCAUCUCUGUUUCUAUCUCUCCCCCACUCCCACGCCCCAGUAUCUAAAAUAUUACCCAGAGCCUUGCAUAGGACAGGCUGAGAAGGCGAUCUACCACAGACCUGUAUCCCAAGCCCCAGCCGGUGACUUUGCGAAGUGCUUCCUUCACUGCUCGCCUCAGGAGAGCGUGACAUUACCUGUAAGGAAAACAGAACCCAGCCAAGGAUGGAGGAACCCACCCGUGAGCCCAACCCCUCCAAAGAGUUCAGAGCAGAAAGAAGGCUAAAUAAAUACUGACGUCAACCCAACCAGAGGUCAGUCUGGACUAAGUACUGACGCCCAAGCCUGGUUCCCCCAGGACUGCUCUGCGGCAGGAGACGUUGUCAUAAAGACCAGACUGUCCCUAGGAUGUAGCCCAAGGCCGACCUAGAACCAGUGAGGCUCCUGUCCUCUGUUCCCAACGGCAAGACAGGAGAGGCGCUCACAGCCAUGCCUGGCUUCCCCUUCGCUUUCGGUUCUGUGUUACUGGAAAUCGUGGCUGGCCGGGGAAGCUCUCCUUUUCUGCCUCUGGAGGAGGCUGCCGGAAAUGUGAACGACCCAAGGAGAUGCUGCAAGCUCCUCCCUGCAAUUGUCUUUGAGAACAAACUGGAGUGUUGGGGGCCAGGGAUGGAGUUUAGUUUUAGAGCGCUUGCCUACUGUAUCCAGGGAUGGGAUACAAAGAAUUCAAGCAAUGGGGAGCAGUCUGGGGACCCCGACUGCCAGCCCACUCAGCCUCCUAAACAACAUGAACGCCUUGACUGGAGGGUCAGCAUGUAUUGAGCUAGCUCUGGCCCAGGCUUCAACCGCAAAAAGAGACCUGGGGGUAGUGAUGGGCAAAGUGGGGUAAGGGGUCCAUCAGCUGCCUGAGACCAGGUAAGUGCUGACACCCACAACAAGGGAGGGUUCAAAGGUCAAAGGGUGCUGUUCUCCAGAGAUUCUGGCAUCCACUCAGCCCCCGAAUGAAUAUCUAACCUUGACUAAGCCGGGUGUGCCUCACCUCCUCUUUUAUAACAGGAAAAGAGAUUAGAUAACAUCCCUCUACUAUCCUCCCGAUAACUCCUAAGGAAUUGGCUUGAGGACUACGGUGUCCCAUGAGGACAUUUUCCUUCCCACCUCCUGCAGGCAGGGUCUCUCCUUGUAGCUCUGGUUGGUAAAGAACUUAAAAUCACUAUGAUCUCAACCUCCAAGAUGCAGGGCUUGUAGACCCAGGCCUACUAGAUCAUUUUAAGACAGGGUUUUUCUGUGUAGCCCUGGAUAUCCUGAAGCUCCCUUUGUAGACCAGGCUGGCCUGGAACUCACAGACCUGCCUGCCUCUGCCUCCUGAGCACAUGAAUUAAAAGCAUGUGUCACUAAGGUCCAGCUUGGAAUUCUGACUAAAAUUUUGUUAUAGCCAGGACAAUGGUGCAUGCCUUUAAUCCUAGCAGUCCAGUACUGCAGAGGCAGAGUCAUGAGUUCAAGGCCAGCCUGCACUGCAUAGCAAGCUUCAAGCUACACGGUACACAGUUCACUGUCACCAAAGAAUAGAAAGAAAAAGUACGGAAAUCUGACUAGUGGCGCCAGAGAGGCAGCUUGGUUGAUAAGAGUGCUUUUCUGCUGCGCAGGAGGCCCAGGAUCCCUGUGAGCACAGCAUGCGGGGCAGUUAGCACUUGGGGAGAACUGGAUGGAUGGAAGGAUGCAGAGAAGGGCUCCUUCUGCAUCCACCUACGAUGACCUGCACAACCAGCUUGUCUGCCUGACGGUCUGUGGCCGCAUCUUUCUCUCUGUAUCAAGGAAGAAGAUAUUUAUCUGUCCCUUCGGAAGCCACCGCAUUUGAAAGGAAGGAGUCUGGCUUCCUGGCCAAAUGUGACCCAGAGGACCUCCUUCUUCCACCUCCCAACCCCACUUCCCAGAGGGGAAGAGGGAGAGCGCUCUGGUGUACACACACACACACACACAUACACACACACACCAACUAUCAGGGAAUGCUUCCUGUUUUCCUGUCCUGAAAGUAUUCUGGAUGGACAAACCAGGGGGGUUCAAAGAGGCUGCCUGCCUCUGGGGCCUGGGGAAAGGCAGAAUGGCUUUUAACUCUCCGGUACCCCGUGUUCACGUUGCACAGACAGUCAGACUCCUUUGUCUCUGCUGGAUUUUAUGUGUAGCUGGGACUCGAACCCAGGUCUUCCUAAACACUUGGCAAGCACUCUACGAACUGACCUACAUCCUCACCCCAGAUUUGAACAUCUUGAGGGCCAUUCACUAAUUUAUUUGUCUAUGAUGCUGUCUCUGAAUCCUGACUUUGUAUGAAGAUACGGAGGUGAUAGAGACAGACACGAUGGGGUCCCCAAAGUCACAGAGGAUGAUGAUCCCCAAGUGCUGACAUGAUAAAGCACCAGUGGAUGCCUAAGCAGGUAUCCGAUAACUCAGCCUAAACUCCUAUGUAAAGAGAGAUGACCUUGAACUGCACCUCUGCAGUGCUGGGGUCCCAGACACACAUCCUGACUUCUGUGGUGGCUGGGGAUCCAACCAAGAACUUCUUGAAUGCUAAGCAAGCUCUACCAACCGAGACCGCUCUUCAGUCUGCAUUUGUUUGGUUUUGCAUUCCCUACCCCACAAGCUUCCAGCUGAGGUUCUGUCUGAAUGAUGACUACAACCUACAACUGAGAUCACUCGGCUAGACUCUGCAUUCUAGGUUUGACUAGCUCAAAAAAACAAAACAAAACAAAACAAAAUAAAAACAAACAACCCCA
This is a long non-coding RNA of Apodemus sylvaticus (European woodmouse), 3597 nucleotides long. RefSeq lists it as uncharacterized. The transcript has 4 exons. Lineage: Eukaryota; Metazoa; Chordata; Mammalia; Rodentia; Muridae. The record is from RefSeq and is a predicted model, not a curated record.